GUGCUCGCUUCAGCAGCACAUAUACUAAAACUGGAACGAUACAGACAAGAUUAGCAUGGCCCCUGCGCAAGGAUGACACACAAAUUCGUGAAGUGUUCCAUGUUUUC
This 107-nucleotide small nuclear RNA is filed under the name Tupaia belangeri chinensis (Chinese tree shrew). Lineage: Eukaryota; Metazoa; Chordata; Mammalia; Scandentia; Tupaiidae. The record is from RNAcentral.